GACGAACGCUAGCGGCGUGCCUAAGGUAUGCAAGUCGAACGGGAGAGGCAACUCUCCAGUGGCGCACGGUCGAGUAACACGUAGACAACCUGCCUGCCAGUGGGGGAUACCCGCGCGAAAGCGCGGCUAAUACCGCAUACGACCCUCCGGGAGCACCUGGGGUGGUGAAAGGGGCAACUCGCUGGGAGAUGGGUCUGCGGCCUAUCAGUUAGCUGGUGAGGUAACGGCUCACCAGGGCGACGACGGGUAGCGGGUCCGAGAGGAUGAUCCGCCGGACGGGGACUGAGACACGGCCCCGACUCCUUCGGGAGGCAGCAAUGAGGAAUAUUGCGCAAUGGGGGAAACCCUGACGCAGCGACGCCGCGUGGGUGAGGAAGUCCUUCGGGAUGUAAAGCCCUUUUUUCGGGGACGAGAACGGACGGUACCCGAAGAAUAAGCCCCGGCUAACUACGUGC
This 455-nucleotide ribosomal RNA is filed under the name uncultured bacterium. RNAcentral describes it as "bacterial SSU rRNA". It matches the Rfam family "Bacterial small subunit ribosomal RNA", at positions 28 to 508 of the family's 1533-position model. The record is from RNAcentral.